RNAcentral lists this ribosomal RNA (729 nucleotides) under uncultured Bacteroidales bacterium. Its description in RNAcentral is "bacterial SSU rRNA". It matches the Rfam family "Bacterial small subunit ribosomal RNA", at positions 49 to 770 of the family's 1533-position model. Lineage: Bacteria; Pseudomonadati; Bacteroidota; Bacteroidia; Bacteroidales. The record is from RNAcentral.
UAACACAUGCAAGUCGAGGGGCAGCAUUUUACUAGCAAUAGUAAAGAUGGCGACCGGCGCACGGGUGAGUAACACGUAUCCAACCUGCCGAUAACUCGGGGAUAGCCUUUCGAAAGAAAGAUUAAUAUCCGAUAGUAUAUUUUCUCCGCAUGGCGAGAAUAUUAAAGAAUUUCGGUUAUCGAUGGGGAUGCGUUCCAUUAGGCAGUUGGUGAGGUAACGGCUCACCAAACCUUCGAUGGAUAGGGGUUCUGAGAGGAAGGUCCCCCACAUUGGAACUGAGACACGGUCCAAACUCCUACGGGAGGCAGCAGUGAGGAAUAUUGGUCAAUGGGCGCGAGCCUGAACCAGCCAAGUAGCGUGAGGGAUGAAGGCUCUAUGGGUCGUAAACCUCUUUUAUAUGGGAAUAAAGUUUUCCACGUGUGGAAUUUUGUAUGUACCAUAUGAAUAAGGAUCGGCUAACUCCGUGCCAGCAGCCGCGGUAAUACGGAGGAUCCGAGCGUUAUCCGGAUUUAUUGGGUUUAAAGGGAGCGUAGGUGGAUUGUUAAGUCAGUUGUGAAAGUUUGCGGCUCAACCGUAAAAUUGCAGUUGAAACUGGCAGUCUUGAGUACAGUAGAGGUGGGCGGAAUUCGUGGUGUAGCGGUGAAAUGCUUAGAUAUCACGAAGAACUCCGAUUGCGAAGGCAGCUCACUAGACUGUCACUGACACUGAUGCUCGAAAGUGUGGGUAUCA